RNAcentral lists this ribosomal RNA (301 nucleotides) under uncultured bacterium. RNAcentral's name for it is "partial 16S ribosomal RNA". It matches the Rfam family "Bacterial small subunit ribosomal RNA", at positions 509 to 807 of the family's 1533-position model. The record is from RNAcentral.
CAGCAGCCACGGUAAUACGAAGGGGGCUAGCGUUGUUCGGAUUUACUGGGCGUAAAGCGCACGUAGGCGGAUCCUUAAGUCAGAGGUGAAAUCCCAAGGCUCAACCUUGGAACUGCCUUUGAUACUGGGGAUCUCGAGUCCGGGAGAGGUGAGUGGAACUGCGAGUGUAGAGGUGAAAUUCGUAGAUAUUCGCAAGAACACCAGUGGCGAAGGCGGCUCACUGGCCCGGUACUGACGCUGAGGUGCGAAAGCGUGGGGAGCAAACAGGAUUAGAUACCCCAGUAGUCCCUGUCUCUUAUAC